This 484-nucleotide ribosomal RNA is filed under the name uncultured bacterium. RNAcentral's name for it is "partial 16S ribosomal RNA". It matches the Rfam family "Bacterial small subunit ribosomal RNA", at positions 30 to 507 of the family's 1533-position model. The record is from RNAcentral.
AUUGAACGCUGGCGGCAGGCCUAACACAUGCAAGUCGAGCGGAUGAAGGGAGCUUGCUCCUGGAUUCAGCGGCGGACGGGUGAGUAAUGCCUAGGAAUCUGCCUGGUAGUGGGGGAUAACGUCCGGAAACGGGCGCUAAUACCGCAUACGUCCUGAGGGAGAAAGUGGGGGAUCUUCGGACCUCACGCUAUCAGAUGAGCCUAGGUCGGAUUAGCUAGUUGGUGGGGUAAAGGCCUACCAAGGCGACGAUCCGUAACUGGUCUGAGAGGAUGAUCAGUCACAGUGGAACUGAGAGGCGGUCCAGACUCCUACAGGAGGCAGAGGUGGGGAAUAUUGGACAAUGGGCGAAAGCCUGAUCCAGCCAUGCCGCGUGUGUGAAGAAGGUCUUCGGGUGGUAAAGCACUUUAAGUUGGGAAGAAGGGCAGUAAGUUAAAACCUUGCUGUUUUGACGUUACCAACAGAAUAAGCACCGGCUAACUUCGUG